AGCAGCCGCGGUAAUUCCAGCUCCAAUAGCGUAUAUUAAAGUUGUUGCAGUUAAAAAGCUCGUAGUUGAAUUUCGGGGUUAGUAGGUUGGUUAUGCCUCUGGUAUGUACUGGUCUCACUGAUUCCUCCUUCCUGAUGAGCCGUAAUGCCAUUAAUUUGGUGUUGCGGGGAAUUUGGACUGUUACUUUGAAAAAAUUAGAGUGUUUAAAGCAAGCUAACGCUUGAAUACAUUAGCAUGGAAUAAUGAAAUAGGACGUUCGAUCCUAUUUUGUUGGUUUCUAGGGAUUGACGUAAUGAUUAAUAGGGAUAGUUGGGGGGCAUUAGUAUUCAAUUGUCAGAGGUGAAAUUCUUGGAUUUAUUGAAGACUAACUACUGCGAAAGCAUUUGCCAAGGAUGUUUUCAUUAAUCAAGGAACGAAAGUUAGGGGAUCGAAGACGAUCAGAUACCGUCGUAGUCUUAACCAUAAACUAUGCCGACUAGGGAUCGGAUGAUGUUAAUUUUUUAAUGACUCAUUCGGCGCC
This 520-nucleotide ribosomal RNA is filed under the name uncultured Glomus. Its description in RNAcentral is "SSU rRNA". It matches the Rfam family "Eukaryotic small subunit ribosomal RNA", at positions 569 to 1087 of the family's 1831-position model. The record is from RNAcentral. Lineage: Eukaryota; Fungi; Glomeromycota; Glomeromycetes; Glomerales; Glomeraceae.